Molecule: long non-coding RNA, 1179 nt
Filed under: Homo sapiens (human)
Lineage: Eukaryota; Metazoa; Chordata; Mammalia; Primates; Hominidae
Description: HSALNT0000434
Source: RNAcentral
AUGGGGUCGCGCGCGAGCUCGGAGGCCUCCCGGGGUUUCGCAGCGGCCGCCGGGUCACACCCAGGCGCAGAGUUGCUCGUCCUCGUCGGGGCGCCCCGGGGGGCGGCGGGGUCCGGGGGUCCCAGCUGCAGCUCCCCCACACAAAGACCUCAUUUCAAAGGGCUUGACUCCGGUAGCUGCCCCAUCAGUAGCUGCCACCUGGAGGCCAGCCCCCCACCCCCUGUCCCAGCCCCAGCCCCGCUGCUCCCUCAUCUGAACACCUUGUCGGUGUCCUCCGCCUGCGUCUCAGAGUGGAUGAGAGGGGACCUGGGAUGCGCGUGAGCCGCAGGGUGUGGGGCCCGUACACGGCAGGCACUCAGCAGGCUGCCAGGGACCACAGGCACCCUCGCGUCUGAACCCAGCCAUCCCGAGCAGAGGAAAGGCAGAUUUUCCAGGACAAGAACCUGUGUUCCAUCAUUUUUUUUUUUUUUUUGGAGACAGUCUCACUCUGUCACCAGGGCUGGAGUGCAGUGGCACGAUCUCGGCUCACUGCAACCUCUGCAUACCUGGUUCAAGUGAUUGUCCUGCCUCAACUUCCCUAGUAGCUAGGACUACAGGCGCUCACCACCGCGACCAGCAAAUUUUUGUAUUUUUUUUUAAGUAGAGACGGGGUUUCACUGUGUUAGCCAGGAUGGUCUCGAUCUCUUGACCUUGUGAUCCGCCCACCUUGGCCUCCCAAAGUGCUGGGAUUGCAGGCGUGAGCCACGGCGCCCAGCCCAUCAUUUCUAGUCAGGGGCAAAACUUUUCCCAUCCAAAACCCCAAGCAUUUUCUCUGAACGUUACUCCCGACUCUGACUUUUUUUUGAGACAGGGUCUCACUCUGUCACGCAGGCCGCAGUACAGUGGUUCAAUCACGGCUACGGCAGCCUUGACCUCCUGGACUCGAUCAGUCCUCCCACUUCAGCCUCCUAAAUAGCUGGGACUACAGGCACCUAACCACCGCGCCCGGCUAGUUUUGGUAUUUUUUGUAGAGAUGGGAUCUUGUCACGUUGCCCACACUGGUCUGGAACUCCUGGUGUCAAGUGAUCUGCCUGCCUGGGCCUCCCACAGUGCUGGGAUGACAGGCAUCAGCCCCCGCGCCCAGCACAGUCCCUGACGUCUGUCCGUCUCCCAGGGCUUUAUUGCACGUCAGCAGUUCCA